Molecule: ribosomal RNA, 473 nt
Filed under: [Eubacterium] saphenum
Lineage: Bacteria; Bacillati; Bacillota; Clostridia; Peptostreptococcales; Anaerovoracaceae
Description: bacterial SSU rRNA
Rfam family: Bacterial small subunit ribosomal RNA
Source: RNAcentral
GAUGAACGCUGGCGGCGUGCUUAACACAUGCAAGUCGAGCGAGAAACUACAUGCAGACACUUCGGUAGAAGCGAGUAGCGGAAAGCGGCGGACGGGUGAGUAACGCGUAGGCAACCUGCCCUUCACAGAGGUAUAGCCUCGGGAAACCGGGAUUAAAACCGCAUAAAAUCAUAGGUUCGCAUGAACCAAAGGUCAAAGAUUUAUCGGUGAAGGAUGGGCCCGCGUCUGAUUAGCUGGUUGGUAGGGUAAAAGCCUACCAAGGCGACGAUCAGUAGCCGACCUGAGAGGGUGAUCGGCCACAUUGGAACUGAGACACGGUCCAAACUCCUACGGGAGGCAGCAGUGGGGGAUAUUGCACAAUGGGGGAAACCCUGAUGCAGCAACGCCGCGUGAGGUAUGAAGGCCUUUGGGUUGUAAGCCUCUGUCCUAGGGGAAGAAAAAAAUGACGGUACCCGAGGAGGAAGCCCGGCUAA